UUUGUAUCCCUGAGCCAGGAUCAAACUCUUUUUGCUUCUUUGCUGACGAGUGGCGGACGGGUGAGUAAUGUCUGGGAAACUGCCUGAUGGAGGGGGAUAACUACUGGAAACGGUAGCUAAUACCGCAUAACGUCGCAAGACCAAAGAGGGGGACCUUCGGGCCUCUUGCCAUCGGAUGUGCCCAGAUGGGAUUAGCUAGUAGGUGGGGUAACGGCUCACCUAGGCGACGAUCCCUAGCUGGUCUGAGAGGAUGACCAGCCACACUGGAACUGAGACACGGUCCAGACUCCUACGGGAGGCAGCAGUGGGGAAUAUUGCACAAUGGGCGCAAGCCUGAUGCAGCCAUGCCGCGUGUAUGAAGAAGGCCUUCGGGUUGUAAAGUACGUUUCAGCGGGGAGGAAGGGAGUAAAGUUAAUACCUUUGCUCAUUGACGUUACCCGCAGAAGAAGCACCGGCUAACUCCGUGCCAGCAGCCGCGGUAAUACGGAGGGUGCAAGCGUUAAUCGGAAUUACUGGGCGUAAAGCGCACGCAGGCGGUUUGUUAAGUCAGAUGUGAAAUCCCCGGGCUCAACCUGGGAACUGCAUCUGAUACUGGCAAGCUUGAGUCUCGUAGAGGGGGGUAGAAUUCCAGGUGUAGCGGUGAAAUGCGUA
Molecule: ribosomal RNA, 651 nt
Filed under: uncultured Shigella sp.
Lineage: Bacteria; Pseudomonadati; Pseudomonadota; Gammaproteobacteria; Enterobacterales; Enterobacteriaceae
Description: bacterial SSU rRNA
Rfam family: Bacterial small subunit ribosomal RNA
Source: RNAcentral